This 70-nucleotide transfer RNA is filed under the name Melanocharis versteri (Fan-tailed berrypecker). It matches the Rfam family "tRNA". From Rfam's summary of the family: Transfer RNA (tRNA) molecules are approximately 80 nucleotides in length. The record is from Rfam by way of RNAcentral. Lineage: Eukaryota; Metazoa; Chordata; Aves; Passeriformes; Melanocharitidae. RNAcentral also lists the same sequence under 2 other names.
CAUUAAGAAGCUAUGGAAUAGCGCUAGCCUUUUAAGCUGGAGAUAGAGGGAUAUCCGCCCUCCUUAAUGG